AGAUUAAGUUAUUAAGGGCGCACGGUGGAUGCCUUGGCACUAGAAGCCGAUGAAGGACGUUACUAACGACGAUAUGCUUUGGGGAGCUGUAAGUAAGCUUUGAUCCAGAGAUUUCCGAAUGGGGAAACCCAGCAUGAGUUAUGUCAUGUUAUCGAUAUGUGAAUACAUAGCAUAUCAGAAGGCACACCCGGAGAACUGAAACAUCUUAGUACCCGGAGGAAGAGAAAGAAAAUUCGAUUCCCUUAGUAGCGGCGAGCGAAACGGGAAGAGCCCAAACCAACAAGCUUGCUUGUUGGGGUUGUAGGACACUCUAUACGGAGUUACAAAGGACGACAUUAGACGAAUCAUCUGGAAAGAUGAAUCAAAGAAGGUAAUAAUCCUGUAGUCGAAAAUGUUGUCUCUCUUGAGUGGAUCCUGAGUACGACGGAGCACGUGAAAUUCCGUCGGAAUCUGGGAGGACCAUCUCCUAAGGCUAAAUACUCUCUAGUGACCGAUAGUGAACCAGUACCGUGAGGGAAAGGUGAAAAGCACCCCGGAAGGGGAGUGAAAUAGAACCUGAAACCGUGUGCUUACAAGUAGUCAGAGCCCGUUAAUGGGUGAUGGCGUGCCUUUUGUAGAAUGAACCGGCGAGUUACGAUUUGAUGCAAGGUUAAGCAGUAAAUGUGGAGCCGUAGCGAAAGCGAGUCUGAAUAGGGCGUUUAGUAUUUGGUCGUAGACCCGAAACCAGGUGAUCUACCCUUGGUCAGGUUGAAGUUCAGGUAACACUGAAUGGAGGACCGAACCGACUUACGUUGAAA
RNAcentral lists this ribosomal RNA (797 nucleotides) under Staphylococcus sp. HMSC36A10. RNAcentral describes it as "bacterial LSU rRNA". It matches the Rfam family "Bacterial large subunit ribosomal RNA", at positions 1 to 794 of the family's 2925-position model. Lineage: Bacteria; Bacillati; Bacillota; Bacilli; Caryophanales; Staphylococcaceae. The record is from RNAcentral.